CGCUCGCCCUCUCUCCCUCCCUCCCUCCCCGUCCCCCUCCCUCCCUUCCCGGCCUGAUUGGCGCCCGGCCGCUUCCUGCCUGGGCGUUAAGGUGGAUUUUCCCGGCGCUCCGGGGGCAGCUCCCGAGCCUUUCCUCCUUCAGCGGGAGGAGCCGGCCGCGAGCGCCUCAGCAUCCCUCGGGCGCCUGUUUUCCUCCGGGAAUUGCGGCUCCUGCUUCCAGCGGCUCUCCCAGGAGCAGCUUGGGGGGGAAAGUGUGGACAGGGAAGAAAGGGGAGCAGAGGACACAGCAGUGUUUACUUGCAUUAUGGUUGUUGUCCCUGUGGACAAAGCAGAGCCCCAGAGAGGAAUAAAGUGAUGGAUAAACAGGGCAGAUGAAGUUGGGAUCGCUCAUGGUUUGAGGUUCCUUCAGUUCUACAGCAAAUGCCUCUGUUCAACCACUGUCUCCUCUGCCAUCCCCAUGGUUAUAAGUAUUUAUGUUCUUGCAGACAUGCUGCAAUGCAGGCAGAAGGUUCUUACAUACCAUAUCCCACUGUAUUUUCCAGCAGUUUAUCUCCUGAGCCAGGCUUUUUUUCCCCUCUCCCUUUUUUUCCCUCAUUAAAUUCUUGUGAAAAUCAGCCUA
This is a long non-coding RNA of Pipra filicauda (Wire-tailed manakin), 619 nucleotides long. RefSeq lists it as uncharacterized. The transcript has 2 exons. The record is from RefSeq and is a predicted model, not a curated record. Lineage: Eukaryota; Metazoa; Chordata; Aves; Passeriformes; Pipridae.